Molecule: non-coding RNA, 84 nt
Organism: Bombyx mori (domestic silkworm)
Lineage: Eukaryota; Metazoa; Arthropoda; Insecta; Lepidoptera; Bombycidae
Source: Rfam
UUAACUCAGAUUUGUAUGGAGUUGGAAUGUAUCCCUACGUUUGCCGCUAGGGGCGCUGUUCCAAAUGCAUACAAGUUUGACUUA